RNAcentral lists this non-coding RNA (28 nucleotides) under Drosophila melanogaster (fruit fly). The record is from RNAcentral. Lineage: Eukaryota; Metazoa; Arthropoda; Insecta; Diptera; Drosophilidae.
UCCCCGCCAGAAGGACGGAAGCACCGAG